Molecule: ribosomal RNA, 593 nt
Filed under: uncultured bacterium
Lineage: Bacteria
Description: bacterial SSU rRNA
Rfam family: Bacterial small subunit ribosomal RNA
Source: RNAcentral
CCUACGGGAGGCAGCAGUGGGGAAUAUUGGACAAUGGGCGAAAGCCUGAUCCAGCAAUGCCGCGUGAGUGAUGAAGGCCUUAGGGUUGUAAAGCUCUUUUACCAGGGAUGAUAAUGACAGUACCUGGAGAAUAAGCUCCGGCUAACUCCGUGCCAGCAGCCGCGGUAAUACGGAGGGAGCUAGCGUUGUUCGGAAUUACUGGGCGUAAAGCGUACGUAGGCGGUUAUUCAAGUCAGAGGUGAAAGCCUGGAGCUCAACUCCAGAACUGCCUUUGAAACUAGAUAGCUAGAAUCACGGAGAGGUUAGUGGAAUUCCGAGUGUAGAGGUGAAAUUCGUAGAUAUUCGGAAGAACACCAGUGGCGAAGGCGACUAACUGGACGUGUAUUGACGCUGAGGUACGAAAGCGUGGGGAGCAAACAGGAUUAGAUACCCUGGUAGUCCACGCCGUAAACGAUGAUAACUAGCUGUUCGGUCUCUACGAGACUGAGUGGCGCAGCUAACGCAUUAAGUUAUCCGCCUGGGGAGUACGGUCGCAAGAUUAAAACUCAAAGGAAUUGACGGCUGAAGACGNGCGAGACGACGACGAGGGAGAG